RNAcentral lists this long non-coding RNA (759 nucleotides) under Zea mays. RNAcentral's name for it is "long non-coding RNA (ZMAY_LNC003856)". The record is from RNAcentral. Lineage: Eukaryota; Viridiplantae; Streptophyta; Magnoliopsida; Poales; Poaceae.
CAAGGUGCUUCUCCCCACGAAGGGACUGUACCUGGCGGCGUGCCAGGAACCCUCGCGCUGCCGCCUGAAGCCGCACCGCUGCUUGGAGUUCCUUCUCUGUCUUCUCCUUGUAGCGGUGGAACAUCACAACGAAUUGAUCCCACUUUUCUUCGAGCCGAGUGAAUGCAUCUAGAGUUGGAGAGGGCGGGUGGGAGGUCGUUGCGGCGGCAUAUGGCGCGGCGGCUGGUGGUGGUGAGGGAUGGGCGGCUGGUGGUGGUGAGGAUAACCUGGAGCUGAUACCAGGUGUCAUGGACCUUCGGUCCAUGGGGAUAGCUGUCUUCUCCGGCGAGGUUAUACCCCUCUGCCGCAGGCUUGGUUCUAGGGUAGCAGCCCUAGGCGCUUGAGAGGGUCAUUGCAAGAGAGAGAGAGAUUGGUUUGAUAAUGAUCUUUGCUUGAUUUAUUCCCUGCUGCCAUGCGGCUUAUAAAUAGCCCUAUGGCUAACCAACUUCUCCUACAAACUCUCAACUAACUCCUACUUUCUUGGACUUAUCUGAUGCUAACCAACUCUCCACAAUUCUCUCAUCUCAAUCUUAUUCUCUAGCCUUAUCCCAGCUAAUCUUAAUCUUAUUCUCUAGCCUUAUCCCAGCCUGGUUGUUGCCUCUCGCUCCCUAUGAUGCCCAUGACAGGUGUCAUGGACCUUCGGUCCAUGGGGAUAGCUAUCUUCUCCGGCGAGGUUAUACCCCUCUGCCGCAGGCUUGGUUCUAGGGUAGCAGCCCUAGG